This 440-nucleotide ribosomal RNA is filed under the name uncultured bacterium. Its description in RNAcentral is "bacterial SSU rRNA". It matches the Rfam family "Bacterial small subunit ribosomal RNA", at positions 339 to 794 of the family's 1533-position model. The record is from RNAcentral.
GUACGGGAGGCAGCAAUCAGGAAUCUUGCGCAAUGGGGGAAACCCUGACGCAGCGACGUCGCGUGGAGGAAGACGGCCUUCGGGUUGUAAACUCCUUUUAGUAGGGACGAGCAAGGACGGUACCUACUGAAUAAGCCCCGGCUAACUCCGUGCCAGCAGCCGCGGUAAUACGGAGGGGGCGAGCGUUGUCCGAAUUCAUUGGGCGUAAAGCGCGUGUAGGCGGACCUAUAAGCCUGAGGUGAAAGGUUGGGGCUCAACCCCAUACAGUGCCUUGGGGACUGUGGGUCUGGAGGCAGGCAGAGGAGUGUGGAAUUCCUGGUGUAGCGGUGGAAUGCGUAGAGAUCAGGAAGAACACCCAUGGCGAAGGCAGCACUCUGGGCCUGUACUGACGCUGAGACGCGAAAGCGCGGGGAGCGAACGGGAUUAGAUACCCUGGUAGA